CAAUAGCGUAUAUUAAAGUUGUUGCGGUUAAAAAGCUCGUAGUUGGAUCUCGGCAGGCAGGGGGUGGUUCGCUCUUAGCGCUACUGCCCCAUUUGCCUGUGUGAUUGGCGGAGGUUUCGGGGUGCUCUUCGUUGAGUGACCCGGGGCGCCGUCAGGUUUACUUUGAAAAAAUUAGAGUGCUCAAAGCAGGCUUUUCACGCUUGAAUAUUCGUGCAUGGAGUAAUGGAAUAGGAACUCGUUUCUAUUUUGUUGGUUUUCGGAAAUCGAGUUAAUGAUUAAUAGGGACAAUUGGGGGCAUUAGUAUUCAGACGACAGAGGUGAAAUUCUUGGACCGUCUGAAGACUAACUACUGCGAAAGCAUUUGCCAAGAGUGUUUUCAUUAA
RNAcentral lists this ribosomal RNA (383 nucleotides) under uncultured eukaryote. RNAcentral describes it as "partial 18S ribosomal RNA". It matches the Rfam family "Eukaryotic small subunit ribosomal RNA", at positions 592 to 976 of the family's 1831-position model. The record is from RNAcentral.